Molecule: non-coding RNA, 293 nt
Filed under: Anaerobium acetethylicum
Lineage: Bacteria; Bacillati; Bacillota; Clostridia; Lachnospirales; Lachnospiraceae
Description: T-box sequence
Rfam family: T-box leader
About the family: Uncharged tRNA acts as the effector for transcription antitermination of genes in the T-box leader family. T-boxes are found upstream of many aminoacyl-tRNA synthetase genes and some amino acid biosynthetic genes usually in Gram-positive bacteria. The anticodon of a specific tRNA base pairs to a specifier sequence within the T-box motif, and the NCCA acceptor tail of the tRNA base pairs to a conserved bulge in the T-box antiterminator hairpin.
Source: RNAcentral
GCAAAUGCAGUGACGAGGAGGAGUACAUACUCACCGGGAUUUCAGAGAGAAGAUGGUUGGUGCGAAUCUUUAUUUUCGAAGUAUGGAAGUAGCCUUUGAGCAGUGGACCGAACGGGAUUGUCCCAAGUAGGCUUCAACGGAAUUUUCCACCGUUACAGGGAAAGCGGUAUCGAUAGCAAUAUCCGUGCUGAUUGAGUUUCAUGAAUCAGUAAGAUAUGGUGUCUGUACUGAACGAGAGCAGAGAGAAGUCUCUGAAUUUAGGUGGUAACACGGAUGGAUCAUUCGCCCUAAGC